Molecule: long non-coding RNA, 1212 nt
Organism: Syngnathoides biaculeatus (alligator pipefish)
Lineage: Eukaryota; Metazoa; Chordata; Actinopteri; Syngnathiformes; Syngnathidae
Exons: 3
Source: RefSeq, a predicted model, not a curated record
GAAACGAGAACAGGUGGACACAGUUGAUAAAAUGAGCACACUGAGCCCUGAAGAACAUGGAACCCUGGAAAACAGGAAAAGGUAGACCAUUACAAUAAUGGCAGCGAUGCCAGGAUUGACUGAAAAUACUUUAAAGGAACAUUUUUGGUGACGAAUAAACAGCUUGAAGCAAGUUCACUUUGUACUUGAACUGCUAGCGAGGAAAAAAAAUAUAUCAGCCAACUCCUGCCUAGCAUAAACAGUACCAAUUAAAUGAGGAGUCGCAAGAAAGAAAGAAAGAAAGGAAGGAAGAGUCUACAAAGCUGUCAGAGUCCAGCUCAAGUGCAUCCAAACUCGGCUCUUGGCACCAUCAUGAUUCAUUAACCCAGAAGCGUGUGGUGCUCAGAUGCCUGUGGGCUCGCACACAAAACAACUCUUCACUUCACUUCUGCUUCUCCGGGCUGUUCUUUAAAAAGAAACAUCUUCACGGCGGUUCAUUAGACCUUCAAACGCUCCCAUUGCUGAACACGCGCAGUAAAAAUGCCAUUUUCCGAAAGGGUCAGUCUGGUGAAAAAAGAUUGGCGUCAAGAACGUGUGACGAGAGGAAGUGGAAUGUCCUUGUCGGCCGCAUCACGAGAUCAAAUCCGCCAACCACUCAAACGUGUUCCCAUACCUGUCGUCGCACUUCACUUCUUACUUCUGAAUAUUAACAGAGGCUAUCUCAUCUUUACGCUUCUGCGAUUGAUAAACUCUUACUUAAAAUUGCUACCAUGGUGAGUAAACAAUUUUAUGAUUACAACAGUGUGACUGGAAUGUAAUUCUAUUCAUUUUAUGUCCUAUGGGGAAAAUACUGAAGUCCACCAGCAACCCAGAAAAGACUGCGUUUGACCACUGUACACACUUUUGAUUAUAUCUAUUCUAAUUAUUGCCCUAAUUGGGUUCCAUGUAUCACAGCGCAUGUAUUAUUGAAGAAUUAAUAUUUUCUCCUGUCCAAUUAAUUAAAAAACAGUGGGUCGCCAUUCCUGGUAGCUCUUCCAUCCACUACAUGUUCAGAGUUUACUCAAGUUAACAUUGAAAUGCUGGCAGACUAUAACGUCUCAUUCAUUCUUAUCAACGUCUCAGGAAAAGCAAUUUCAAGCCAAUUUUCUUCCUCCUCCUCCUCUUCUUCUGCGUUUCGCCACUCUUUUGGCGUGGCCAUGUGACAGACUGGCCUCUCGGAUGUUCAGCUGCUAA